GAGUUUGAUCCUGGCUCAGAUUGAACGCUGGCGGCAUGCUUUACACAUGCAAGUCGAACGGCAGCACGGGAGCUUGCUCCUGGUGGCGAGUGGCGAACGGGUGAGUAAUGCAUCGGAACGUAUCCUGGAGUGGGGGGAUAACGUAGCGAAAGUUACGCUAAUACCGCAUAUUCUGUGAGCAGGAAAGCGGGGGACCUUCGGGCCUCGCGCUCUUGGAGCGGCCGAUGUCGGAUUAGCUAGUUGGUGAGGUAAAGGCUCACCAAGGCGACGAUCCGUAGCAGGCCUGAGAGGAUGAUCUGCCACACUGGAACUGAGACACGGUCCAGACUCCUACGGGAGGCAGCAGUGGGAAUUUUGGACAAUGGGGCAACCCUGAUCCAGCCAUGCCGCGUGAGUGAAGAAGGCCU
Molecule: ribosomal RNA, 407 nt
Filed under: bacterium enrichment culture clone ALO1_GLFRUDD03HJWZP
Lineage: Bacteria
Description: bacterial SSU rRNA
Rfam family: Bacterial small subunit ribosomal RNA
Source: RNAcentral